CAAAGGUUUGGUCCUGGCCUUUUUAUUAACUUUUAGUAAACUUACACAUGCAAAUAUCCUUGCCCCAGUGAGAAUGCCCUCUAAAUCAAUAUGAUCAAAAGGAGCAGGUAUCAAGCCCACUAUUUACAGUUGCUCACAACACCUUGCUCAACCACACCCCCACGGGAUACAGCAGUGAUUAAAAUUAAGCUCAUGAACGAAAGUUUGACUAAGUUAUACUAAUAUUAGGGUUGGUAAAUUUCGUGCCAGCCACCGCGGUCAUACGAUUAACCCCAGUUAAUAAAACACGGCGUAAAGCGUGAUUAAAAUAUCCCUCCCAAUAAGACUAAGCCCAAACUAAGCUGUAAAAAGCCCUAGUUACAAUAAAAAUAAUUUAAGCGAAAGUAGUCUUAAAACUUUUGAACUCACGAUAGCUAAGACCCAAACUGGGAUUAGAUACCCCACUAUGCUUAGCCCUAAACAUAAACACUCAACUAACAAGACUGUUCGCCAGAGUACUACUAGCCGCAGCUAAAAACUCAAAGGACUUGGCGGUGCUUUAUAUCCCUCUAGAGGAGCCUGUUCUAUAAUCGAUAAACCCCGUUACACCUCACCACCUUUAGCAAAUAUCAGCCUAUAUACCGCCAUCUUCAGCAAACCUUAACAAAGCCUCACAGUAAGCACAAUAAUAACACAUAAAUACGUUAGGUCAAGGUGUAGCCUAUAAGGUGGAAAGAAAUGGGCUACAUUUUCUACAAACCAGAACAAUUACUUUACGAUAGCUUCCAUGAAAUUUAAAGCCCAAGGCGGAUUUAGUAGUAAGCUAAGAAUAGAGAGCUUAGCUGAAUCGGGCAAUAAAGCACGCACACACCGCCCGUCACCCUCUUCAAAUCCWACACACAGAUAAAUAAUACUUAAUUUUAUCCAUAGUGUGNUAURAGAAGAGAUAAGUCGUAACAAGGUAAACAUACUGGAAAGUGUGUUUGGAAUAAU
This 972-nucleotide non-coding RNA is filed under the name Rubrisciurus rubriventer (Sulawesi giant squirrel). Lineage: Eukaryota; Metazoa; Chordata; Mammalia; Rodentia; Sciuridae. The record is from RNAcentral.